Molecule: ribosomal RNA, 247 nt
Filed under: uncultured bacterium
Lineage: Bacteria
Description: partial 16S ribosomal RNA
Rfam family: Bacterial small subunit ribosomal RNA
Source: RNAcentral
AUACAGAGGGGGCAAGCGUUAUUCGGAAUUAUUGGGCGUAAAGGGCGCGUAGGCGGUUUCUUAAGUGAGAUGUGUAAUCCCCGGGCUUAACCUGGGAACUGCAUCUCAUACUGGGAGGCUAGAGUACUGGAGAGGGUGGUAGAAUUCCACGUGUAGCGGUGAAAUGCGUAGAGAUGUGGAGGAAUACCAGUGGCGAAGGCGGCCACCUGGACAGUAACUGACGCUGAGGCGCGAAAGUGUGGGGAGC